UCAAAGACUGAAACGGAAAACCCCGUAAAUGAUUAAUCCUCUCAUCUCCCUAUUAUCGAUUUUAUUUGGGACGUUGAAUUAAAACGCUUAACUUCGGCUUUAAUGACUUCCCAAUAUAUAGUGUCUGAGCUGAAUGGAAAACCACAUCGGUUCCUCAGCUCGCACAAUUACGAGGUGUUCUCUCCUUUCUCUCUUUGGCAUUUGCUCUGUAUCCAAUACUGUAUGUGAUUACUUAGGGUUCGUUUUCGUAUAUCAUUGAUGUUUAAUUAGGGUUGAGUAUUAUAUUUUCCUUCACGUCGAAUCUAUCAAUAGAUUUGGUUUAUUUUUCUUCCCACGCUAUUUUCCUUAACCCAAAAACUAGGUUAUCACUGCAGUGGGUUUGAGACCCAACUCACUGAUUCAUAAACUUUAAACGACAGAAUUGGGUGUGUUACAUUUUCGACAAAAUUCCCCAAACAAAUCCAGUUUCAUUAUUCCAUACAAAUUCUGUUUCACUGAGUUUGAAGACCUAGGAUUCAAGUUUCAGAACAAAUGUCUUACAGGUCAAUCGUAUUACAUUUUUUCUUUUUACAGUGUUGUUAACCAUUACUCUUUGUUUACCUUUCCCACCUUUCGAACCUUUCCAACGUUUUACAGUGGUUGGCUUCUUAAAAACCAUCAGGGCAACACGAUCACCCGAUACUUCAGAGGCCCCGUGGCCAGACUUGCGGAAUGUGGAACUUGCAACUGGGAAUCUCAGUGGUAAUGAUCGAAUUGAUGUUGACUCCAACCCAGGGACAAUAUUACUAGCCGUGUGCUCCACUUUUGUGAAGAAUUAUCAAGUCAAAAUCACCAUAUCCUCCACUACUGCCACCAAAGUGUACGCGAACAUUGACAUUUUAGUUGUCAUAGAAAUGCAAGAAAAGUUGGUAUUUACCCUCUUUUCAUAUUCUUCGUUAUGGGACUUUAUAUAUCACUGAUUGUUGUGUCCCUUUAGACUUUUGGACCACCUAUUAUCAAUUAACUGUUUAGAAAUGCUACUGCCUAUGUACUCUGUACAAAUCAUUCAGAUAACAUGUUCUUUCUAUUGUUAAAAUACUUACUAAAAGACUGUUAUAUUGGUGGAGCUAUUUAUUUGUGUAUAACGUAUUUGUAUAUUGAGUUUCUGUGGGGAUUACAGUGUGAUUAUCUAUCUGGAUCUAUCUUUGUGGUUGUAUAUAUGUGUGUAUUCUUUAAUUAACCAGGGUUUUCAUAAUGUUUCCAGGAAAUUUUAUCCACUCGGUGGACUUUUGUAUCCUCCUUUUGGUGGCAUACUAACUAUGAUAUCAUGUUCAGAAAUCAUGAACUCAACUAUAUAAGAAAUGAUCACAUCAACUGGCAUAUGUUGCACUAAAUUGUCGGCAAACAAUGUGUACUCAUGAAACAUAGGAUCACUAUCUCGAGCAGACAUCAAUAUAUUAUAAGGAGGUUUGCAGGACAUGUGCAGAGUAUUAGCAGCAUACUAGCUCAUUUUUAUUUACAUCAAAAUCCUUUGAUACUUUUGGUUAGCAUGAAUGAAAUGUUUGAAGAAUUUAUAGAGCGUAUGGGGUGUUGUGAACUCGACACGAAAAUGCUCUUAUGCACCUGGAGGAGGUAAAAGCAAUAUAAUCUGCCAGGGAGAAGCCAUUGCAAAUAAGGAAAGGUAUCCAGCGAACUAACACAGUCCAGGUUCCUGCUUAGCUUUGGAGUUGAAGAUAAUACCAUCGUCGCAAUAGUGAGGUCCAGAAUUGGUCCAGCACACAACAUCUAAGCUUAACCUUGGUGUUUUUUUUUUUGGCUUUUCAUCAACCAGUGUAAAGAUACCUUCGACACUCCACAAUUUCGAAGAUUAAUCUAAAGGAGGCGGGGAUGUCUGGAUUUUCACAAAUCAUGCUUCAUGUUGUUGAUUUCCAAAUCACUCUCAAUUCCGGAGACAUGAAACAUAAAGUUGCAAGCAGCUACCCCGUCACCCGCAUUGACCUACGUACUCUCCCCAUGCCUCCAGCAUCACAGCAAAUCCUUUUGAACCAUUGAAAGUUGAAGGAAACUCGGCACUGAUGAAGAACAUGCGGCCAAGAAUGCUUGCCGUAACGAAGUGGUCCAACUUGAUUGAAUUCAAUCCAAAGAAUGAGUUAUAGCUUUCCACUUGAUUAUUAGAUCGAUUAAUGCAUUCUGGGUAUUUAUUUGAUAUUGUCCAUUCUAUUUUAGGUGUACUUUGUU
This is an RNA transcript of Papaver somniferum (opium poppy), 2217 nucleotides long. RefSeq lists it as uncharacterized. Lineage: Eukaryota; Viridiplantae; Streptophyta; Magnoliopsida; Ranunculales; Papaveraceae. The transcript has 5 exons. The record is from RefSeq and is a predicted model, not a curated record.